GUAGGUGGCAAGCGUUGUCCGGAAUUAUUGGGCGUAAAGCGCGCGCAGGCGGGUCCUUUAAGUCUGAUGUGAAAGCCCACGGGCUCAACCGUGGAGGGUCAUUGGAAACUGGGGGACUUGAGUACAGAAGAGGAAAGCGGAAUUCCAAGUAUAGCGGUGAAAUGCGUAGAGAUUUGGAGGAACACCAGUGGCGAAGGCGGCUUUCUGGUCUGUAACUGACGCUGAGGCGCGAAAGCGUGGGGAGCAAACAGGAUUAGAUACCCUGGUAGUCCACGCCGUAAACGAUGAGUGCUAAGUGUUAGGGGGUUUCCGCCCCUUAGUGCUGCAGCUAACGCAUUAAGCACUCCGCCUGGGGAGUACGGCCGCAAAGGCUG
RNAcentral lists this ribosomal RNA (374 nucleotides) under uncultured organism. RNAcentral's name for it is "partial 16S ribosomal RNA". It matches the Rfam family "Bacterial small subunit ribosomal RNA", at positions 527 to 896 of the family's 1533-position model. The record is from RNAcentral.